This is a long non-coding RNA of Rosa rugosa (rugosa rose), 574 nucleotides long. RefSeq lists it as uncharacterized. The transcript is spliced from 3 exons. Lineage: Eukaryota; Viridiplantae; Streptophyta; Magnoliopsida; Rosales; Rosaceae. The record is from RefSeq and is a predicted model, not a curated record.
GUACAACCACGCGUCACUGUGCGAAAGCCAGUCUGAAGGAACACGGCCACCACAAGCUGCUGCUCAGAUCCUGCGGCGUCGUUUCGCCACUUCCCAAGCCAAAAAUUGCCAUUACAAUUCGCAACUCAGGGAAAUCGGGAAAUCCAAAACAACGGCCUUGGUGUUAUCCUUCCCCAAACUUCCGAUGCUGAUUCCAUGCCCUGGUCCACAGUUCACAUUGUGUACGUAGACAUUUGAGCAUCCAGUUUGUAUGGAAAUACAGUCAUCUCCUUAGGGGCCGGAGAAGGAGAUGGGGCCCACGAGGAACUUGUAAUUGGCCGGAACGAUGAUCUUUGAUGCCUCAACUUUACAGGCGGCAGCCCAUGCAGCUUGGAAUGCCUGCGAUGUACCGUAUCCAAUGUAACUUGGUCAAGUACUAUACUUCAGUAAAUAAGCUUUAUACGUAGAAAUAUACGGUUGGGGGUUAGUUUGUACGCAGCUCUACAACUGUAACAUACAAUUAUUGUACCAACUGCCUUAACGAGAAUAAAUGUAUUCACUGGGCCCAAAAGAGGCCCACCUGUUUGGUUUUUCA